RNAcentral lists this ribosomal RNA (254 nucleotides) under uncultured bacterium. RNAcentral's name for it is "partial 16S ribosomal RNA". It matches the Rfam family "Bacterial small subunit ribosomal RNA", at positions 524 to 776 of the family's 1533-position model. The record is from RNAcentral.
UACGUAGGGUGCGAGCGUUAAUCGGAAUUACUGGGCGUAAAGCGUGCGCAGGCGGUCUGUUAAGACCGAUGUGAAGUCCCCGGGCUUAACCUGGGAACUGCAUUGGUGACUGGCAGGCUUUGAGUGUGGCAGAGGGAGGUAGAAUUCCACGUGUAGCAGUGAAAUGCGUAGAGAUGUGGAGGAAUACCGAUGGCGAAGGCGGCCCCCUGGGCCAAUACUGACGCUCAUGCACGAAAGCGUGGGUAGCAAACAGG